ACGUUGGUAGGGCAACGGUUCAGCACGCGCUACCGGAAACAGUGAAAUCUGGGGUUCGAGUCCCAGCUGACGCA
This is a non-coding RNA of Parelaphostrongylus tenuis, 74 nucleotides long. Lineage: Eukaryota; Metazoa; Nematoda; Chromadorea; Rhabditida; Metastrongylidae. The record is from the annotation of a GenBank genome assembly.